Molecule: ribosomal RNA, 539 nt
Filed under: uncultured archaeon
Lineage: Archaea
Description: bacterial SSU rRNA
Rfam family: Archaeal small subunit ribosomal RNA
Source: RNAcentral
GACUCAACGCCGGACAUCUCACCAGCCCCGACAUCAGUAAUGACAGUCAUGUUGACGACAUCCGCCCGAGCUGAUGAGAGGAGGUGCAUGGCCGCCGUCAGCUCGUACCGUGAGGCAUCCUGUUAAGUCAGGCAACGAGCGAGAUCCACAUCCCUAAUUGCCAGCACCAUCGCACGAUGGGUGGGUACAUUAGGGAGACUGCCAGUGCUAAACUGGAGGAAGGAAUGGGCAACGGUAGGUCAGUAUGCCCCGAAUGGGCUGGGCAACACGCGGGCUACAAUGGCGAGGACAACGGGUUCCAACACUGAAAAGUGACGGUAAUCUCGCAAACCUCGUCGUAGUUCGGAUUGCGGGCUGAAACUCGCCCGCAUGAAGCUGGAUUCGGUAGUAAUCGCGUUUCAGAAGAGCGCGGUGAAUACGUCCCUGCUCCUUGCACACACCGCCCGUCAAAGCACCCGAGUGAGGUCCGGAUGAGGCCACAUCACUGUGGUCGAAUCUGGGCUUCGCAAGGGGGCUUAAGUCGUAACAAGGUAACCGUA